ACAGCGAAACCCUGUAAGCCGGGAACUAUGCUUUCUGAUGGCUGCACCACAUGUACCUGUAACCCAGAUGGGACGACUGCUACAUGUACCAUGAGCGACUGUUCAUCCCAGCUUCCUGGAGAGGUUUGUCCAGACUGUGAGCAGAAACCAUAGAAAAAGUCUGGUGCUGUGAAGAGUUGCUUGUGAACAAACUAUGAAAUUUCAUGUACUACAGCAUGUAAUUUAUGCUGAUUUAUUGAGAAAUAAAAACUUUUUGUGAACCUGA
Schistocerca americana (American grasshopper) is the source of this 265-nucleotide long non-coding RNA. RefSeq lists it as uncharacterized. The record is from RefSeq and is a predicted model, not a curated record. NCBI's taxonomy places the organism in Eukaryota, Metazoa, Arthropoda, Insecta, Orthoptera, Acrididae. The transcript has 2 exons.